GAUGAACGCUGGCGGCGUGCCUAAUACAUGCAAGUCGAGCGAACAGAUAAGGAGCUUGCUCCUUUGACGUUAGCGGCGGACGGGUGAGUAACACGUGGGUAACCUACCUAUAAGACUGGAAUAACUCCGGGAAACCGGGGCUAAUGCCGGAUAACAUUUAGAACCGCAUGGUUCUAAAGUGAAAGAUGGUUUUGCUAUCACUUAUAGAUGGACCCGCGCCGUAUUAGCUAGUUGGUAAGGUAACGGCUUACCAAGGCAACGAUACGUAGCCGACCUGAGAGGGGGAGAGGAAGCAGUAGAAAUGAGACAAGGACGAGAGAAAGAAGGGAGGAAGAAGGAGGGAGUGGUGAGCAAUGGGAGAAAGUAGGAAGGAGCAAAGAAGAGUGAAGGAUGAAGGUAUAGGGAUCGGAAAAAGCAGUGAGGAGAGAAGAACAAAGAGCGAAGUAAAAAUGCACGGCGUGAGGGGAAAUAAUAAGAGAGAAACGGAGAAAUAAGUG
This 497-nucleotide ribosomal RNA is filed under the name uncultured bacterium. RNAcentral's name for it is "partial 16S ribosomal RNA". The stretch from base 20 to 338 matches the Rfam family "Bacterial small subunit ribosomal RNA", at positions 47 to 358 of the family's 1533-position model. The record is from RNAcentral.